Molecule: ribosomal RNA, 289 nt
Filed under: uncultured Psychrobacter sp.
Lineage: Bacteria; Pseudomonadati; Pseudomonadota; Gammaproteobacteria; Moraxellales; Moraxellaceae
Description: partial 16S ribosomal RNA
Source: RNAcentral
CUACCCGGGUAUCUAAUCCUGUUUGCUACCCACGCUUUCGAGCCUCAGUGUCAGUAUUAUGCCAGAAGGCUGCCUUCGCCAUCGGUAUUCCUCCAGAUCUCUACGCAUUUCACCGCUACACCUGGAAUUCUACCUUCCUCUCACAUACUCUAGCUCAACAGUAUCAGAUGCAGUUCCCAGGUUAAGCCCGGGGAUUUCACAUCUGACUUAUCGAGCCACCUACGCUCCCUUUACGCCCAGUAAUUCCGAUUAACGCUUGCACCCUCUGUAUUACCGCGGCUGCUGGCAC